UGAGAUGUUGGGUUAAGUCCCGCAACGAGCGCAACCCUUAUAUUUAGUUGCCAGCAUUUCGGAUGGGCACUCUAGAUAGACUGCCGGUGACAAACCGGAGGAAGGUGGGGAUGACGUCAAAUCAUCAUGCCCCUUAUGACCUGGGCUACACACGGACUACAAUGGCCGGUACAACGGGCUGCGAAAUCGCGAGAUGGAGCCAAUCCCAACAAAGCCGGUCUCAGUUCGGAUUGCAGGCUGCAACUCGCCUGCAUGAAGUCGGAAUUGCUAGUAAUCGCGGAUCAGCAUGCCGCGGUGAAUACGUUCCCG
This 309-nucleotide ribosomal RNA is filed under the name Nanobacterium sp. BC1_NA2C7. RNAcentral describes it as "bacterial SSU rRNA". It matches the Rfam family "Bacterial small subunit ribosomal RNA", at positions 1068 to 1376 of the family's 1533-position model. The record is from RNAcentral.